RNAcentral lists this ribosomal RNA (957 nucleotides) under marine metagenome. RNAcentral's name for it is "bacterial SSU rRNA". It matches the Rfam family "Bacterial small subunit ribosomal RNA", at positions 8 to 960 of the family's 1533-position model. The record is from RNAcentral.
AGAGUUUGAUCAUGGCUCAGAUUGAACGCUGGCGGCAGGCCUAACACAUGCAAGUCGAACGGAAACAUGUCUAGCUUGCUAGAUGAUGUCGAGUGGCGGACGGGUGAGUAAUACUUAGGAACAUGCCUUUGGGUGGGGGAUAACUAUUGGAAACGAUAGCUAAUACCGCAUAACGUCUACGGACCAAAGGGGGCGCUUGCGCUCUCGCCUAAAGAGUGGCCUAAGCGAGAUUAGCUUGUUGGUGAGGUAAAGGCUCACCAAGGCGACGAUCUCUAGCUGUUCUGAGAGGAAGAUCAGCCACACUGGGACUGAGACACGGCCCAGACUCCUACGGGAGGCAGCAGUGGGGAAUAUUGCACAAUGGGGGCAACCCUGAUGCAGCCAUGCCGCGUGUGUGAAGAAGGCCUUCGGGUUGUAAAGCACUUUCAGUUGUGAGGAAAGUUUGAUGGUUAAUACCCAUUAGAUGUGACGUUAGCAACAGAAGAAGGACCGGCUAACUCCGUGCCAGCAGCCGCGGUAAUACGGAGGGUCCGAGCGUUAAUCGGAAUUACUGGGCGUAAAGCGCACGCAGGCGGUUUGUUAAGCUAGAUGUGAAAGCCCCGGGCUCAACCUGGGAAUAGCAUUUAGAACUGGCAGACUAGAGUCUUGGAGAGGGGAGUGGAAUUUCUGGUGUAGCGGUGAAAUGCGUAGAUAUCAGAAGGAACAUCAGUGGCGAAGGCGACUCCCUGGCCAAAGACUGACGCUCAUGUGCGAAAGUGUGGGUAGCGAACAGGAUUAGAUACCCUGGUAGUCCACACCGUAAACGCUGUCUACUAGCUGUUUGUGGAUUUAAUCCGUGGGUAGCGAAGCUAACGCGAUAAGUAGACCGCCUGGGGAGUACGGCCGCAAGGUUAAAACUCAAAUGAAUUGACGGGGGCCCGCACAAGCGGUGGAGCAUGUGGUUUAAUUCGAUGCAAC